CCAGUCUGCCUCAACUAUGAGAUCAGUGUCUGCUGCACCCCCAACCGCCCAGAGUGUCUUCCAACUCCAAGCACCCCGAGCACCCCAAGCACCACACCUUCCACAGCUUCACCCACAACGACCAGUGUGUCCACUCCAAGAUCAACAACCACUCCAACGCCAACACCAGAGACUCCCAGCAGUACCACCCCUACCACCACCACCACCACUACGACCACGAUGUCCCCCAGCACCCCCACCACCAGUGGCAGCACCUCACAGACAACACCAACUGUUCCUGUCUCAACUACACCCAUUUCAACUACUUCAAGCACAGCCACGCCCACACCAACAUACACCACCACCACACCAACUCCAGUCACGCCGAGCAAAGCAUCCACUACACCAGAAUUGCCAACCACAUCACCGGAGACUCACAGUACCACCACGACCACCACCAGCUCUCCGACCACAACCACAACUGGUACUGGAUCACCAACACCCACCUCAACUACUUCAAGCACAUCCUCUCCCACACCAACAUACACCAACACCCUGCCAACUCCAGGCACACCUCCACCCACACCGAGCACACCACAAUCGACAACGACUCCCUCAACACCAGAGACUACCACCACCACCACCACCAGCCCUCCGAGCACAACAACCACUGUUCCUGUACCAACACCAACACCCACUUUGACUACUUCAAGCACAUCCUCACCAACACCAACAUACACGACCACCCUACCGACUCCAAGCACACCUCCACCCACACCGAGCACACCAAAGUCGACAACAACUCCCUCAACACCAGAGACUACCACCACCACCACCACCAGCCCUCCGAGCACAACAACCACUGUUCCUGUACCAACACCAACACCCACUUUGACUACUUCAAGCACAUCCUCACCAACACCAACAUACACGACCACUCUACCAACUCCAGCCCCACCUACGUCCACACCGAGCACACCAAAAUCGACAACAACUCCCUCAACACCAGAGACUACCACCACCACCACCACCAGCCCUCCGAGCACAACAACCACUGUUCCUGUACCAACACCAACACCCACUUUGACUACUUCAAGCACAUCCUCACCAACACCAACAUACACGACCACUCUACCAACUCCAGCCCCACCUACGUCCACACCGAGCACACCAAAAUCGACAACAACUCCCUCAACACCAGAGACUACCACCACCACCACCACCAGCCCUCCGAGCACAACAACCACUGUUCCUGGACCAACACCCAGCUCAACUCCUGAAAAUAUUAUCACCAUAACCCAACCGGUUCCACCCACAGAAGCAAUAAGUAAUUCCCAGGGUUUCAUGUCUUUUGCUGGUUUUAGAAAACAGAGUUUAUUGGCAGCUUAAUAUGUGUUUUAGUU
Molecule: long non-coding RNA, 1382 nt
Filed under: Ficedula albicollis (Collared flycatcher)
Lineage: Eukaryota; Metazoa; Chordata; Aves; Passeriformes; Muscicapidae
Description: lncRNA (ENSFALG00000011947.2)
Source: RNAcentral